AUGUUGUCUGCUAGCACCGUAAUAUGUCCAUCCAUUAACCACUAUUUUGUCGAAAUACAUGCCUCUGCUUCUGGUUAUUACAAGCUAGGUAGUAUUGUGGCAGUGAUCGGAAACUUCUACACAACUCAUCACCAUCAUGUCCAUGCCCCAGACUUGGGUGAGUGCUCAAGGAAGAAUUUUGUAGUUCCACUGUUGGAUUCCAAGCAGGCAAUUCAUGAUCAGCCUUGCGCAAGCUAUGGAGUUUCAAGAAAUCGAUUGACAGGUGGAGUGACUGCUGGGGUCAUAAACGAAGAAACAAUGAAGUCACUGGACAACAAAGCAGAUUAUUUAUUCCCAAUGUCGUUGCUCUUGCAAAAUUGCAGGCCUAUUGGUUAUGUGAUAAGCAACCACUGGACCCUUUCUACAAGCACAUAA
RNAcentral lists this ribosomal RNA (414 nucleotides) under Triticum aestivum (bread wheat). Its description in RNAcentral is "partial small subunit ribosomal RNA". The record is from RNAcentral. Lineage: Eukaryota; Viridiplantae; Streptophyta; Magnoliopsida; Poales; Poaceae.